RNAcentral lists this ribosomal RNA (254 nucleotides) under uncultured bacterium. RNAcentral describes it as "partial 16S ribosomal RNA". It matches the Rfam family "Bacterial small subunit ribosomal RNA", at positions 524 to 776 of the family's 1533-position model. The record is from RNAcentral.
UACAGAGGUCUCAAGCGUUGUUCGGAUUCAUUGGGCGUAAAGGGUGCGUAGGCGGCGCGGUAAGUCAGGUGUGAAAUCUCGGAGCUUAACUCCGAAACUGCAUUCGAUACUGCCGUGCUUGAGGACUGGAGAGGAGACUGGAAUUUACGGUGUAGCGGUGAAAUGCGUAGAUAUCGUAAGGAAGACCAGUGGCGAAGGCGGGGUCUCUGGACAGUUCCUGACGUGAGGCACGAAGGUCAGGGGGGGCAAACGGG